ACUGGUUGAUCCUGCCAGUAGUCAUAUGCUUGUCUCAGAGAUUAAGCCAUGCAUGUCUAAGUACAUACCUUAAAACGGUGAAACCGCGAAUGGCUCAUUAAAUCAGCUAUGGUUCCUUAGAUCGUAAACGCUACAUGGAUAACUGUAGUAAUUCUAGAGCUAAUACAUGCCUUGAAUCCCUGACCCGCAAGGGGACGGGUGCAUUUAUUAGAACAGAACCAACCGGGUGCGGCUUAUGCUGUGCCUGUUACAUUCUGUGAUGACUCUGGAUAACUUUACUGAUCGCAGUCGGCCUUGUGUGUCGGCGACGGAUCUUUCAAAUGUCUGCCCUAUCAAUUUGUUGGUAGGUGAUUUGCCUACCAUGAUGAUAACGGGUAACGGGGAAUCAGGGUUCGAUUCCGGAGAGGGAGCCUGAGAAAUGGCUACCACAUCCAAGGACGGCAGCAGGCGCGAAAAUUACCCACUCCCAGCACGGGGAGGUAGUGACGAAAAAUACGGAUACGGGACUCAAUUGAGGCUCCGUAAUUCGAAUGAGUACAAUUUAAAUCCUUUAACGAGGACCAAUUGGAGGGCAAGUCUGGUGCCAGCAGCCGCGGUAACUCCAGCUCCAAAAGCGUAUAUUAAAGUUGCUGCAGUUAAAAAGCUCGUAGUUGGAUCUGGGUAGUGCGAUCGCAUGCUGUUGCUUGUUCACGGUCUUGGUUACGAUCAGGGCAGUGGUCAGCUCGGCGUAGUGGUUGUGCAACCUUUCAGCCGUGUCUGUGUUUUAUUAAACAGGUGUCGAUGGGUUAAUGAGUAUUGUAUCUUAUUGACCUGUUGGCAUGCUUUCGGAUGCCUUUAAACGGGUGUCGGGGGCGGACGGCAUCUUUACUUUGAACAAAUUUGAGUGCUCAAAGCAGGCCUAUGCGCCUGAAAAUUCUUGCAUGGAAUAAUGAAAUAGGACUUCGGUUCUAUUUUGUUGGUUUUCGGAUCCGAAGUAAUGGUUAAGAGGGACAGACGGGGGCAUUUGUAUGGCGGUGUUAGAGGUGAAAUUCUGGGAUCGCCGCCAGACAAACUACAGCGAAAGCAUUUGCCAAGAAUGUUUUCAUUGAUCAGGAGCGAAAGUCAGAGUUUCGAAGACGAUCAGAUACCGUCGUAGUUCUGACCAUAAACGAUGCCAACUGACGAUCCGCGUUGGUUCUAUAAUUGACAUCGCGGGCAGUCCCCGGGAAACCUUUAAGUCUUUGGGCUCCGGGGGGAGUAUGGUUGCAAAGCUGAAACUUAAAGGAAUUGACGGAAGGGCACCACCAGGAGUGGAGCCUGCGGUUUAAUUCGACUCAACACGGGAAAACUCACCCGGCCCGGACACUGUGAGGAUUGACAGAUUGAAAGCUCUUUCUUGAUUCGGUGGUUGGUGGUGCAUGGCCGUUCUUAGUUGGUGGAGCGAUUUGUCUGGUUAAUUCCG
Molecule: ribosomal RNA, 1441 nt
Filed under: Schistosoma japonicum
Lineage: Eukaryota; Metazoa; Platyhelminthes; Trematoda; Strigeidida; Schistosomatidae
Description: SSU rRNA
Rfam family: Eukaryotic small subunit ribosomal RNA
Source: RNAcentral